RNAcentral lists this long non-coding RNA (2243 nucleotides) under Nicotiana tabacum (common tobacco). RNAcentral's name for it is "long non-coding RNA (NTAB_LNC002630)". Lineage: Eukaryota; Viridiplantae; Streptophyta; Magnoliopsida; Solanales; Solanaceae. The record is from RNAcentral.
UCCUUCUACAAGUCUAGUUUCAUACAGUGUCAAUUUUAGCCUCCAAGGCACCAUCAUAUUUAGAUGUGGUAGAACAAAACAUUUAUUCUAUCAAUAGUUAUUUUUUUCCCACGUGAAUCAGAUGAUACCGGUCAUUAUCUAUGGUGUCUUGAAAACGCUAAACAAGCACGUUCAAUUCUUGAUGAUUCCAGCAAGUUGCAUCUAUCUGACAGUGACUUAGUAGCCACAUCAAUUGUGGAUUGUCGCUUCGAAGCAAACUACACAAAAAAAGUUGUUAUAAAACAUGCCACAUCUAGUCAUGAAAUUUUUUUGCAUAUAUGCAGUCGAAGUUAGAUGACGAAGGCAAAGAUAAACCUUGAUUCUCUUCAACUUCGUAUUCUUAGAUCUUUUUUCAUUGAGCAUCACAUGUGACUACUUCCUGGUAACCAACAAAACACACAUUCAGAUACGAAAAAAUUGAAUUCAGUUUUUGAAAAAUAUAUGAUAACAAAUAAUGCACAAAUAAUUAACUUUAAGGAUGUUGCAGCCUACUCAAUCAUGCAAACUCAGUGCAUGUACAAAUGACCAAAAUGAAUGUCUGAACUAUGAAUACAAUCGUCUUUACAUCAGUUUUCAAUUGUGGAAAAAAUAUGUAGCUACUAAUGAAUUAUACAAACUAUAAAAAUUCAGUUACGCUUGCCAUAUAUAUUAGAUGCAAUUCCAAAUUUAUUUAUUUUCCACGCACAAAAAUCACACUAUUACAUCACCUACCCAACCUUCUAAUUUCAAGAACCAUCAAUACUCCAUCAUUUCUUAAUAUCUAAUAAAUUUGAAGAGAUAUUCCAAAGCAAAAAAUGUUAGAUCUCGAAAUUUAUGCACUUCAAGUGGAAUAUAAAUGAUACACUGACCAAUAGAAGGCUUUAAAAAAUAUUCGCAGUAGAUAUUACUUCACCGUUUAGAAUCAAGAACUAAUAUUUCCAUCAUUUUUUAUUCCUUGGCAAUUUCAUGUUUUAAAGAUCUCUCACAAGAAAAUGCAUAGCCUAUCUUUUAUUCUUUAAAGCAAAGAAGCUUUCUAACCAAAGAUGAUGGAAUCCCACCUUGACUAAUUUAAGGACUUUGAAUACUAUAGAAAACCAAAAGCCUUAAGGUUCUAGCAAGCCUAAUAUAACUCAUGAUCAAAUAAUUUCAAGCUUCUCAAAAUACGAAUGUCGUCAAAUUGAUCUCAUCUUUCAAUAUCGACAAUAAUAUGUUUGUUCAGGCCCUAUAGAAUAUUGUUCAAAAGUACCAUUGAAGUUGAAAUUUCAAACAAAACCUAUCGCGUCUCAAUAGAAAAACCAAUUAGUUAAGUGUAAGAUAAAAAAUAAAUGACUGCAUGUUGUAUGAAAACACAAGGCAGAAGAAGGUGCUUAUGAAAAUGAAUUCAUACAUGAGCAGUUCAGAGCCUCUUAAACAUAAGUUGGUGAAAUCGUGGUAAUAACAAUAGAAAAUAUAAUUGCAUCCCGCAUCAAGAAAUAACCAUAUCCAUUGCAUAUUAAAAAAUAGACAUGGAAGGAAAGAAGCCAUCCAAGAUCAGUUAUCGUAACUUAUCAUUAGAAUCCUGUUAUCUUUACAGGAUUUGUUCUAUCAUUUGCUAAAUUGUCCUGCAUCCUAUCUGGCUUGUCAAGUGAUAAGCAUCAAGACUGCGAGAUAUUUAACUCUAAUCUUGAAUGUAUGAAAAGUAGCAGUUAAUAGGUAAAGAUAAAUAGGAGUCCAUCUUAUAACAAAAAGAUAUUUGUCAAUCAGUUGUAGAAAGAAAUUAACAGGGAUUCAUGGAAACAUCAAGAACAAGUUUUUGAUCCAUUUUUGAGCAAUGUAAAUGAACAACUAUUAGAUAGUUAAAACUGAAGAAGCUUCUUUCAGAUGCAUCAAACUGAAUAUUCAUAUAAAAUAGUGUCGCACUAACUUUCUCUGCAUAAAUAGACCAAUUGAAGCUUUUACACCAGAUAGAGUUCAUCGACAUCUAUAUUAGUAUGUUGACCAAUUCUUUUUACACUAGCAGAACUAUUAGCAGUUGUUGUAGCUAUCCAACAGUGAAGGUCUACUAGAUUCUGCUAUACAAAGUACUACAAAGUGAAUAGAUACUAAAUUGUAUGUUACUGAACAUCACAAUAGGCUACAAUAAUAUCCAUAUUGAAUACUAACAAAGGCAAUUAUUGGUAAUUAAACUAUACUCACAACAAGAAUUUUAAAUGCAUACUUGAGUUUGUGUGUAGAGUGUACGUCUU